RNAcentral lists this non-coding RNA (78 nucleotides) under Geobacteraceae bacterium. RNAcentral's name for it is "c-di-GMP sequence". It matches the Rfam family "c-di-GMP-I riboswitch aptamer". From Rfam's summary of the family: GEMM was predicted in a large-scale screen for bacterial structured RNA regulatory elements. Genes associated with GEMM are involved in a diverse array of functions, including chemotaxis regulation, signal transduction, secretion and chitin. Lineage: Bacteria; Pseudomonadati; Thermodesulfobacteriota; Desulfuromonadia; Geobacterales; Geobacteraceae. The record is from RNAcentral.
CACUGACAAUGGUAAACCACGGGUAAUCGUGGGGCACAAAGCCACCUGUCCACCAUAGUGGAAAGAGGGGCCGCAGAA